RNAcentral lists this long non-coding RNA (115 nucleotides) under Castor canadensis (American beaver). RNAcentral describes it as "T-cell leukemia/lymphoma 6 conserved region 2 (ENSCCNG00000003258.1)". It matches the Rfam family "T-cell leukemia/lymphoma 6 conserved region 2". The record is from RNAcentral. Lineage: Eukaryota; Metazoa; Chordata; Mammalia; Rodentia; Castoridae.
UUACUUUAUGCUUUGAUGUUUGUGAACUCUAUCCACCCAACUUCUGGGCAAACAUUCAUCUGACUUCCCUUAUAGUCACAGAACAAGAACAAUAAAAAUAAGAAGAAAGAUUUUU